Molecule: unclassified non-coding RNA, 273 nt
Filed under: fungal sp.
Lineage: Eukaryota; Fungi
Description: partial internal transcribed spacer region
Rfam family: Eukaryotic small subunit ribosomal RNA (bases 1-46)
Source: RNAcentral
AAGUCGUAACAAGGUUUCCGUAGGUGAACCUGCGGAAGGAUCAUUAGCAUAUACGCGUGUUAUUGUUGGCGCCCGAGGUUAGGGAGAAAUCUCUCUCGGGUCCAACAAUCCGCGACGAACCAUGUGAACUUGGAAUAUGUGUAUAGCUGUGCGGUUGGAGCACGAAUGUGUGCGCCGCCGCAUGGUCAACUAAACCUGUAACUUUUAAUAUCAUACACACAAACAAAACCAUAAUUAAAUACACAACUUUUAACAAUGGAUCUCUUGGCUCCU